ACAACCCUUUAGAACCAUGCGCCCAGCGCACGGACCCUUUUUACCGCCGUCAAACUAGCAAAAGUGGAUUUGGACACGCCCUAAACACACCUGCACCAGGCGCUGCACGCCGUGACCUCAGAUGGUUAAAAUAGGCCCUAUGUUGCAUAAUAGCUUUACA
This is a long non-coding RNA of Sander lucioperca (pikeperch), 160 nucleotides long. RefSeq lists it as uncharacterized. The record is from RefSeq and is a predicted model, not a curated record. NCBI's taxonomy places the organism in Eukaryota, Metazoa, Chordata, Actinopteri, Perciformes, Percidae. The transcript is spliced from 3 exons.